Molecule: ribosomal RNA, 736 nt
Filed under: Flavobacterium sp.
Lineage: Bacteria; Pseudomonadati; Bacteroidota; Flavobacteriia; Flavobacteriales; Flavobacteriaceae
Description: bacterial SSU rRNA
Rfam family: Bacterial small subunit ribosomal RNA
Source: RNAcentral
GGCAUCGGCAGCUUACACAUGCAGUCGAGGGGUAUAAUUCUUCGGAAUUAGAGACCGGCGCACGGGUGCGUAACGCGUAUGCAAUCUACCUUUUACAGAGGGAUAGCCCAGAGAAAUUUGGAUUAAUACCUCAUAGCAUAGCAGCUUCGCAUGAAGCCACUAUUAAAGUCACAACGGUAAAAGAUGAGCAUGCGUCCCAUUAGCUAGAUGGUAAGGUAACGGCUUACCAUGGCAACGAUGGGUAGGGGUCCUGAGAGGGAGAUCCCCCACACUGGUACUGAGACACGGACCAGACUCCUACGGGAGGCAGCAGUGAGGAAUAUUGGACAAUGGGCGCAAGCCUGAUCCAGCCAUGCCGCGUGCAGGAUGACGGUCCUAUGGAUUGUAAACUGCUUUUGCACAGGAAGAAACAACAUUACGUGUAAUGUCUUGACGGUACUGUGAGAAUAAGGAUCGGCUAACUCCGUGCCAGCAGCCGCGGUAAUACGGAGGAUCCAAGCGUUAUCCGGAAUCAUUGGGUUUAAAGGGUCCGUAGGCGGUUUAGUAAGUCAGUGGUGAAAGCCCAUCGCUCAACGGUGGAACGGCCAUUGAUACUGCUAGACUUGAAUUAUUAGGAAGUAACUAGAAUAUGUAGUGUAGCGGUGAAAUGCUUAGAGAUUACAUGGAAUACCAAUUGCGAAGGCAGGUUACUACUAAUGGAUUGACGCUGAUGGACGAAAGCGUGGGUAGCGAACAG